Long non-coding RNA from Poecilia reticulata (guppy), 424 nucleotides. RefSeq lists it as uncharacterized. The record is from RefSeq and is a predicted model, not a curated record. Lineage: Eukaryota; Metazoa; Chordata; Actinopteri; Cyprinodontiformes; Poeciliidae.
UCUUAGCAACAAAAAUAGUUAUUGUUCAAAAAACAUAAAAUUUGUUCUGCUCUUCUGAAUUGGAGUGGAGCGGCAAAGUAAGAAGGAUGGAAAAAAGAGAGCAAGGAAAAGCCAAAAACUGGACACAUUUUGUUCGUCGUCUUGGAGAUGAAGCGGAGUUUUUUGUUGGCAGCGAUUUAGACCCGCCAAAACUGCCAGCCCAGCCAGGGAGCCAKGAUAGUUACAGAAUGACCAGUGGAUAUGAAUGUGACGUUAUGCGACGUUAACAAGCCUUGGCCUGGCGAGAUGUCAGAAACAACCAGAGAAGGUACCAUAAAUGUGUCCAUCCAAGUUAGACUGACUGUCGCAAUCACCGGGCUCAGGCGACAUGAUGGAGAAAUGAGGGACAGUUUUCAGCAGGGAAUAAAUUGACUAAUAAAAACAA